AGUCCGCUGAGGAGCGAAAGCAUGGGGAGCGAACAGGAUUAGAUACCCUGGUAGUCCAUGCCGUAAACGUUGGGCACUAGGUGUGGGGACCAUUCCACGGUCUCUGCGCCGCAGCUAACGCAUUAAGUGCCCCGCCUGGGGAAUGCGGCCGCAAGGCUAAAACUCAAAGGAAUUGACGGGGGCCCGCACAAGCGGCGGAGCAUGCGGAUUAAUUCGAUGCAACGCGAAGAACCUUACCAAGGCUUGACAUGUUCUCGGCUACCGUAGAGAUACGGUUUCCCCUUUGGGGCGGGUUCACAGGUGGUGCAUGGUUGUCGUCAGCUCGUGUCGUGAGAUGUUGGGUUAAGUCCCGCAACGAGCGCAACCCUCGUUCGUACUUGCCAGCACGUCGUGGUGGGGACUCAUGGGAGACUGCCGGGACUGACUCGGAGGAAGGUGAGGACGACGUCAAAUCAUCAUGCCCCUUAUGUCUUGGGCUUCACGCAUGCUACAAUGGCCGGUACAAUGGGUUGCGAUACUGUGAGGUGGAGCUAAUCCCAAAAGACCGGUCUCAGUUCGGAUUGGGGUCUGCAACUCGACCCCAUGAAGUCGGAGUCGCUAGUAAUCGCAGAUCAGCAACGCUGCGGUGAAUACGUUCCCGGGCCUUAAACACACCGCCCGUCAAGUCACGAAAGUCGGUAACACCCGAAGCCGGUGGCCU
This 700-nucleotide ribosomal RNA is filed under the name Micrococcus luteus. RNAcentral's name for it is "bacterial SSU rRNA". It matches the Rfam family "Bacterial small subunit ribosomal RNA", at positions 740 to 1436 of the family's 1533-position model. The record is from RNAcentral. Lineage: Bacteria; Bacillati; Actinomycetota; Actinomycetes; Micrococcales; Micrococcaceae.